AUGUUCCGUCUGAUACCUGGAUGUGGGGGCUGAUCGGGGCAGCUCUACGUUUUUCCGGCGAAGUUCGACUAAAGAACGGCGUUUCAGUCGUUGAUUUUACCUGAGAAUCAUUUCUAUUCGACCGCGGGUAUUUUUCAUAGGUUUUGGACUCGAAUCCGAGAUUAUAACUCCUGUAGUCUUUCUGUUCCUCACCCCAGGUUCAGGUGCGGAGCUCCGGCGAGAAAUCCAACGAGCUUGGGGUUCCAUGAGCUCAAAUUGGUUCCGUUUGAAACUCAGAAUCCGGCAAGGAAAAUCCGGCGAGUUCAUGUUGAAUCUGAGGUGAAUUCAACGUCUUCUUUUCCUAAAAAGGUUGUAGUUUCCGGCGAAGUUCUGGCGAAGCUCCAGCAACGGUGACGACCACCGGCGGAGGCUAAUAUUCCGUUAACUUUAACGGAAUCUCGUACGGAAGGUACGUUGGUGGGAAGUGGUACCAUCCUCGCUAGUUGAGCGACUCCUUGGCAAUCAAAUAUAUGUCGAUCUGUUAUACUAAGGUGCGUACAUGGCAUUGCAAUCCUUUAUCAAGAUGUCUAGAAAACAACAGAAGUCACAGUCUUGCUUCACAAUCUGAAUGGUAAGUCAAUGAUAUAUCUAGAUUAAGCUUCAGAUCGAUAUGUAGUCUGUAACAUGAAAACAUUUAAGUUGAGUCUCGUUUG
This 692-nucleotide small RNA is filed under the name Malus domestica (apple). Its description in RNAcentral is "sRNA MD07G0013100". The record is from RNAcentral. Lineage: Eukaryota; Viridiplantae; Streptophyta; Magnoliopsida; Rosales; Rosaceae.